AAUCGCGGAUCAGCAUGCCGCGGUGAAUACGUUCCCGGGCCUUGUACACACCGCCCGUCACGCCAUGGGAGCCGGUAAUACCCGAAGUCAGUAGUCCAACCUCGUGAGGACGCUGCCGAAGGUAGGAUUGGCGACUGGGGUGAAGUCGUAACAAGGUAUC
RNAcentral lists this ribosomal RNA (160 nucleotides) under uncultured bacterium. RNAcentral describes it as "partial 16S ribosomal RNA". It matches the Rfam family "Bacterial small subunit ribosomal RNA", at positions 1340 to 1500 of the family's 1533-position model. The record is from RNAcentral.